AUGGAGAAGGUGGCGGAGAACGUUGACGCUGGCGCGGCGGCGCAGCUGCAGCUGAAGCUGUUCGGGUCGUGGGCGAGCUCGUACACGCACCGCGUGCAGCUGGCCAUGCGGCUCAAGGGGCUCGCCUUCGAGUACGCGGAGGAGGACCUCGGCAACAAGAGCGACGCGCUGCUGCGCCUCAACCCCGUCUACAAGAAGGUCCCCGUGCUCGUCCACGACGGCCGCUCCCUCGCCGAGUCCGUCAUCAUCCUCCAGUACCUCGACGACGCCUUCCCGGCCUCCCGCCAGCUCCUCCCCGCCGACGCCUUCGACCGCGCCGUCGCUCGCUUCUGGUGCCACUUCGGCGACGACAAGCUUGGGCCGGCGGUGGGGGCGGUGUUCGCGUCCACGGGGGAGGAGCAGGAGGCGGCGGUGCGGCAGGUGCACGAGAACCUGGCGCUGAUCGAGGCGGAGCUGCGGGAGGGGGCGUUCAAGGGCCGGCGCUUCUUCGGCGGCGACGAGGUCGGCUUCCUGGACGUCGUCCUGGGCUGCGGCUCCUACUGGCUGGCCGUCUUCGAGGAGGUCACCGGCGUGCAGCUGGUGGACGCCGAGGCGUUCCCGCUCUUCCACGCCUGGCUGCGCGACUUCGAGGCGCAGGACGAGGUGAGGGAGACCAUCCCCUCCAUCGACCGCCUGCUCGAGUACGCGCGCGGCCUCCGCCAGAUGCUGGUCGCCAUGGCCGCCGGCGCCGGCGCUGGCGCAGCCUCGGCCGACGCCCCCACCGCCGCUCCGCCCGCCGCGGCACCCCCGGCCGCCACCACGGCUGACAUCGCCGUGGACAUAUGA
RNAcentral lists this ribosomal RNA (825 nucleotides) under Triticum aestivum (bread wheat). Its description in RNAcentral is "partial small subunit ribosomal RNA". Lineage: Eukaryota; Viridiplantae; Streptophyta; Magnoliopsida; Poales; Poaceae. The record is from RNAcentral.